This 253-nucleotide ribosomal RNA is filed under the name uncultured bacterium. RNAcentral describes it as "partial 16S ribosomal RNA". It matches the Rfam family "Bacterial small subunit ribosomal RNA", at positions 524 to 776 of the family's 1533-position model. The record is from RNAcentral.
UACGUAGGGUGCAAGCGUUAAUCGGAAUUAUUGGGCGUAAAGCGUGCGCAGGCUGUUUUGUAAGUCAGAUGUGAAAUCCCUGGGCUCAACCUAGGAACUGCGUUUGAAACUACAAGACUAGAAUAUGUCAGAGGGGGGUAGAAUUCCACGUGUAGCAGUGAAAUGCGUAGAGAUGUGGAGGAAUAUCAAUGGCGAAGGCAGCCCCCUGGGAUAAUAUUGACGCUCAUGCACGAAAGCGUGGGGAGCAAACAGG